UAAAUUUCUUUCUCUUUGAAAACAAUACAUUGCUGGUAUAAUAUAUCGUUGUCCUUUCUAAAUGAUAUAAUUCUUAUAGUGAGUCCGCCUAACUUACCUCUUUAUAGGAAGAAAUGGAGAAAAUUGUGGAAAAGCUACCUCACAAUAUAUUGCAGAGUGAAGAUUUGUAUCAGUACAUACUGGAGACUAGUGUGUACCCACGUGAAUCAGAAUUUCUGAAGGAGCUAAGGCAUGUUACUGCUAGCCAUCCAAAGGCUUUUUACUCUACUGCACCAGAUGUAGGUCAGUUGAUGGCCAUGCUGUUGAAGCUAGUUAAUGCAAAAAGGACUAUUGAGCUUGGAGUUUACACAGGAUACUCUCUUCUCUUCACUGCUCUUACAAUUCCUGAGGAUGGCAAGAUUAUAGCCAUAGAUGUAAAUCGGGAGACAUUUGAGAUUGGGUUGCCGAUUAUUAGGAAAGCUGGUAUUGCAGAAAAAAUUGAUUUCAUUGAGUCGGAAGCUUUACCAGUUCUUGAUCAGCUACUGCAAAAUCAUGAAAACGAAGGGAGUUUUGACUUUGCUUUUGUUGAUGCUGACAAGGUUAAUUACUGGAACUACCAUGAGAGGCUGAUGAAUCUGUUAAAGGUGGGUGGCCUAGUUGUCUAUGAUAACACACUCCGAUGAGGAUCAGUUGUGAUUCCUGAUGCAUUGGUUCCAGAAUUCGGGAGAGAAAUAAGGGAGAAAAUAAUUGAGUUUAACAAAUUAAUUGCCGUUGAUCCUCGUGUCCAAAUUUCACAUGCUUCUUUGGGUGAUGGUAUCACAAUCUGCAGGCGGCGUCUCUAAUGAGGAACUGCUUGGAAGUUGAAACUUCUCUGCAUUUUACUUGUUUGAGUUUGAAUGUAAACGCACCUGAAUUACCUCGCAUAUAUUGUUACUCCUUCAAAUAUUAAUAGUCAUAUGAAGACUGAAAAUCAGUUUGUGAUUUUGGAAUCAUCAGAGCCUCAGGUCACUAAAAGUACAGGUGACUUCACCCACUUCUUCCUUAUGGAUAAAAGGGGGUGAGGAUGGUUUGACAAUUUCUGCCUAGCUAUUAUUAUCAGAAAACAGUGUAUUCCAUUGUCAGCUAAAAUCUCUCUUUUGUGAGGAUGCAA
Quercus lobata is the source of this 1129-nucleotide RNA transcript. It is a transcript of the gene named probable caffeoyl-CoA O-methyltransferase At4g26220, with no coding region annotated. The transcript is spliced from 5 exons. Lineage: Eukaryota; Viridiplantae; Streptophyta; Magnoliopsida; Fagales; Fagaceae. The record is from RefSeq and is a predicted model, not a curated record.